RNAcentral lists this ribosomal RNA (504 nucleotides) under uncultured bacterium. RNAcentral's name for it is "bacterial SSU rRNA". It matches the Rfam family "Bacterial small subunit ribosomal RNA", at positions 8 to 507 of the family's 1533-position model. The record is from RNAcentral.
AGAGUUUGAUCCUGGCUCAGAUUGAACGCUGGCGGCAUGCUUUACACAUGCAAGUCGAGCGGCAGCGCGGGGACAACCCUGGCGGCGAGCGGCGAACGGGUGAGUAAUGCAUCGGAACGUACCCUGGAGUGGGGGAUAACGCCGCGAAAGCGGCGCUAAUACCGCAUAUGCUCUGAGGAGGAAAGUGGGGGACCGCAAGGCCUCACGCUCUGGGAGCGGCCGAUGUCCGAUUAGCUAGUUGGUGAGGUAAAGGCUUACCAAGGCGACGAUCGGUAGCUGGUCUGAGAGGAUGAUCAGCCACACUGGGACUGAGACACGGCCCAGACUCCCACGGGAGGCAGCAGUGGGGAAUUUUGGACAAUGGGGGCAACCCUGAUCCAGCCAUGCCGCGUGAGUGAAGAAGGCCUUCGGGUUGUAAAGCUCUUUUGGUCGGGAAGAAAGUGCUCUGCUUAAUACGCGGGGUAUUUGACGGUACCGGCAGAAUAAGCACCGGCUAACUACGUG